Molecule: ribosomal RNA, 390 nt
Filed under: uncultured archaeon
Lineage: Archaea
Description: bacterial SSU rRNA
Rfam family: Archaeal small subunit ribosomal RNA
Source: RNAcentral
AUAAGCGAAAGCUUGACAGGGUUAUUCUGAGUGAUUUCCGCUAAGGAAAUCUUUUGGCACCUCUAAAAAUGGUGCAGAAUAAGGGGUGGGCAAGCCUGGUGUCAGCCGCCGCGGUAAUACCAGCACCCCGAGUGGUCGGGACGAUUAUUGGGCCUAAAGCAUCCGUAGCCGGUUCUACAAGUCUUCCGUUAAAUCCACCUGCUUAACAGAUGGGCUGCGGAGGAUACUAUGGAGCUAGGAGGCGGGAGAGGCAAGCGGUACUUAGUGGGUAGGGGUAAAAUCCGUUGAUCCAUUGAAGACCACCAGUGGCGAAGGCGGCUUGCCAGAACGCACUCGACGGUGAGGGAUGAAAGCUGGGGGAGCAAACCGGAUUAGAUACCCCCGUAGUCC